This 490-nucleotide ribosomal RNA is filed under the name uncultured bacterium. RNAcentral's name for it is "partial 16S ribosomal RNA". It matches the Rfam family "Bacterial small subunit ribosomal RNA", at positions 28 to 507 of the family's 1533-position model. The record is from RNAcentral.
GAUGAACGCUAGCUACAGGCUUAACACAUGCAAGUCGCGGGGCAGCAUGGGGGUUGCUUGCAAUCCCCGAUGGCGACCGGCGCACGGGUGAGUAACGCGUAUCCAACCUGCCCUUCACCACGGGAUAACCCGGCGAAAGUCGGACUAAUACCGUAUGUUGUCCAUUGACGGCAUCCGAUUUGGACGAAAGGUUUGGCGGUGAAGGAUGGGGAUGCGUCCGAUUAGCUGGACGGCGGGGUGACGGCCCACCGUGGCGACGAUCGGCAGGGGUUCUGAGAGGAAGGUCCCCCACACUGGAACUGAGACACGGUCCAGACUCCUACGGGAGGCAGCAGUGAGGAAUAUUGGUCAAUGGGCGUAAGCCUGAACCAGCCAAGUAGCGUGCAGGAUGACGGCCCUAUGGGUUGUAAACUGCUUUUAUGCGGGGAUAAAGUGGCCCACGUGUGGGUUUUUGCAGGUACCGCAUGAAUAAGAACCGGCUAAUUCCGUG